Non-coding RNA from Anas platyrhynchos (mallard), 3281 nucleotides. The record is from RefSeq and is a predicted model, not a curated record. Lineage: Eukaryota; Metazoa; Chordata; Aves; Anseriformes; Anatidae.
UUGGAAAUUAACCUAUUUGGUUGGAAACGAACCCGUUUGGUUGGAAAUAACGAGCCCGCGGCUGCCCCGCGCCGACCGUUAACGGCCAGCACAGCGGCACGCGCUCGGGGGCAGCUGUCCGUUAAAUCCCCCUCCCCGCCCAGCGCCAUUUUGGAGAAGAGGCUGCCGCUGGGGGCAGGAGGGAGGUCGUCAGCGGGGCUUGCAGGUUGAGGGAGCUAACUUGUGAGAUUUUUCCUGCAGUUUCAGCAGAGUAAAGCCUUCUUUCACUUCAUCUUGAGAAGUUCCUACGUUCUGAGAAACGUUUGUCACAGUACACUGCAGAGGGAUCUUCACUCCAGUGAAGUCUGUUUAUCCAGUGAAGUCCUGUGGGAUACUUUAAAGAAAGGUGGAACCAUUCCUACUGAAGGGGUGCCAUAAUGUCUUCUGGGAGGAAGAGCAGCUGUCUCAAGCUCAACUUGGGAAAAACUGAAGUGGUAUUGUCCAAAAUACUCAUUUUCUUCAGGAAACAUUUGCCUUCCCAAUUAGUCCAAAAGCCCAGGCUCUGAGCAUUAUUUCAUGCAAUAGACAGCUUUAAAGGGCAGUAAGAGACAUGGGGAAGAGGUACACAAGGAAGCACAGUCACUAUCAUUUGUAUCUCAGAUAUUGUCUCCUCUGCCAGAACACUGGUAUAUUGACUGAAUCACAGAGUUGAUCACAAAUCUGCCGUGGACCUCCAGAAAAUGAGUUAUGGAAGCCACCAAAGCAAGUUAUGCUCUCAUAGACAGAGCUUUUUCUUUGUGAGGAUAUUCAUAGCCCUUUUAUGAAGAUAUUUGACUGGCUAGUUUUAUUUGGUAGAUAUGGAAUGAUAUGGCAGAAGUUUUUACUGACAUUUUUGAUGGUUAGAAUUUUCAGUAUGAGUCACUCUAUGACACCCCCCACACAAUCAUUUCCAAACAGCUUCUCCUCAGAUGUUUGUCAAAUUCCCUGACCAAGUCUCAUGCUCUUUAUAGGAGCAUUACAAGGAAUUUCAAGCAAUAGUCUAUGAAGAACUGACAUCCAAGAUCUGAUUCUUCUGAUACUAGAGAUUAAUCCAUAAUGCGUGCUGCAUCUGUAACCCAUUUAUACAGCAGUGGACGCCUCUUUUUAUUGUAGAUUUAUGCAACAGUGGUCCCAGUUCAUUGUUUUUUAGGGCUGAUUCAUUUUUUUUUUUGCAUUUCACAGUGUUAGAUACUUUGCUACUUUUAAGGAUUUAUGCCACAACAUGCUAGUUUUCAGAAUUUGAGGGUUUUUUGAUGCACACCUAUGACUCCAUUUUUAUAAUUUGAUUUUUAUGCAUAUCAGACAUUCCCUGGCUUUUUGUUUCUCCAUGUGCAAGAAACACAAAGAGAAAUGAGUUUCCUGGGCCGUUUUGUCUAGAUACAAUCUCGUCUGAACACUUGAUGUCAUUGGGCAGUUUGGGUUUGUUAUCUGGGAGAGCAAUUCUUACAUUUCUCCAGGGGAUGAGAAGAUAUUCUGUACAUUACCGUCAGUCACUGUAUGAGAAGCAAACAGAUGUCAGAAAGACAAACUGAUAGCUGAAUUAGCACAUCAUAUUAAUGGUUAUGCUGUUGGAAAUGGUAUAAGCCGUCUGAUGAAUGAAGACCAACUAUGUAGUAAGGUAAAUCUACAAAAGAAAGCAACUAAAACAUAAGGAGGUAUUGUGUAGAAUCAUAGAAUAUCCUGAGUUGGAAGUGACCCACAAGGAUCAGUUACUUAAUUAGUUAUGUUUAACCUCUUAACUUUACCACUUCUUUUUUCAGUAUAAUGUACUCUAGAAAAAGCUCUGCAGUUUUUUGUUUUUGUUUGUUUGUUUGCUUUUCCUGGUAAGGUUUCCAUUGGCUGAACAGAUUAUAAAUCAAGAAAAAACUUAUUAUGAUUAAAAUAAAAAAUGCAAAGGGCUGCAAGUAGCAGAAGCGGUACAAACAGUGAAAGGGGAAUCUUAAAAGUGAGAAUGAGAACGACACAUGCUACUUACCUCUUAUCAUCUGAAUUGUAUAACUUUCCUUGUGGUUUUGUAUAUAGAAUACCAGUCUGUCUGGUAGAAUUACAUCUUCUGUUUUAGUAACUGACAUAAUAUUAAAGGAAUGACACCCCAAGAAAUCAGUAUUUUACAAAGUUUAAAACAGAUCUUGUUUCCACUGCUUACAGCUUAGAUUCCUAUCAUUUUAACCAAAGUACAUGUAGGGUGUUUUACAGUGUUUACUGCCAGUUAUUCUUUUUUAAAUGACAACUCAUGCAGUUAUGGAUGCAUUGCAUGAUCUGUAGAGGAUUCAUGAGAAUCGUGCAUGUUCAUGGAACAGAAGAAGGAACCACCAACCACAGGCAAGGAAACAAAGUUCUUUUUAGAUUAUUAACUUUGCAGAUUGCACCCAUUCAUUUGCUACCUCUUAAUUCUUUCCCCUGGGCCCAUAGCAUGACAUGUCAAGCAAAGGGCAAAAGCAUAACUUUGUUAUCUGGCAGAUGUCCACAUUAUAUAGCUCAGUGCUCCAUGGAAGGUGAAGUAAAAGCUAUGUAUAGAUGUGACCUUAGGCACACGCAGAUGCUGCACGCAAGUACAGUAAUGCUAAUCAACCAAGUAAAGCUGCAGUAUCAGGGACUAGGUGAGUCAGCAAAGCUUCUGCAAAGAGAACAUCAGGCAUAACAGUUGCUAAGAUACCAAGGUUGCAACAAAAAAAAAGUAAUACUAAGUGAGUUUCCUUAUUAAUAACUUGCUGCAGCAUGUGUGUAGUAACAGUGGCAAGCAGAAAAAACAAUGGACAUGAAGAGCAAGUUCAGUCAUACGGUAGGGAGGAGCAGGGCCGUAAGUGGGACUUCUGAGGCUCAUCCUGCUGGAAAAACUCGGCAGCAGUGGCAGGUUAAUAAAGAGCUAUUACAUGUUCAUUUUCGUUUUGUUGUGAAUGUGGCUGUUGGCUUGAAUUUUGCUGGAAAAGUAUGGGUUUUAUCAGGUACAAUAUCUGAAUGUUAGCAUCUGUGUAAUGGAAACCAUUUUAAGCUCAUUAAUCCAUGCCUAGGACUUGCCUUAACAUUUGGCUUUACUAAAAAGAUGCUUGUUCUUGUUGACUGGAAAGUGAUAAAGUGAUUUCAGUGCAGGAACCACUUUUUAGUGGCAGACAUUGUCAUUUGUAUUUGAAAAUAAUGUUGUAAAUAAUGCUGUACUUUAUGAGCUGAUAUGUAAUAUUUUUUAAGUAAUUGAGAAGUUGGGAAAUCUGCCUACUAUCCUCAGCAAGCUGCUUCUGCUUAAAUAUAUAUUGUUUUUUGUUGUU